Molecule: RNA transcript, 8210 nt
Organism: Myotis davidii
Lineage: Eukaryota; Metazoa; Chordata; Mammalia; Chiroptera; Vespertilionidae
Gene: C2CD3
Gene name: C2 calcium-dependent domain containing 3
Exons: 32
Source: RefSeq, a predicted model, not a curated record
CGGAGUCUUGGCGCCUUCCCUUCUCACCGCUUCCCGGACUGUUAGAGGAGGAGCGGCUGCUUUGUGCCUCCCAGGCUGCCCAGCGGCGCCGUUGCCGGGGAACGCAGGCGCGGUGGGAAGAGAUGGCGGGAGGCUACGGCUUAGGUGCUGGGGCCGGAGUUGAGUUGGCGAAGAAAAGUUCGGCCUCGUCAUGAAACAACGGAAAGGCCAGGGGCCUGGGGGCGGCCGUGGCCGCAAGAAAGGAGGUUUGAGUGACAUUCCUCCAUCUACAAGCCUACCACCUCUAGUUGAAGGCCAGCUACGCUGCUUUCUGAAACUUACUGUUAGUAAAGUCAUAUGGAAGAUUGCAAAGCCUCCCUCUUGUGUACUUGUCCGAGUGAGAUGGUGGGGAGAAACAUCAGAUGGAACCCUCUUUUGUCCCACGGACACAUUGCAGACUGAACCAAAAGCUGUGAGAACAACUACACGUUAUGCUGUUCGCUGUGGUCCAAAGCAAUUUACCUCUUAUCUAACAGAUAUGGCUGUGCUGGUGCUGGAAGUAAUCACCAAACUUGAUCAUCUUCCAAUUGGUAGAGUUCAGAUCAAUGGAUUAGCCAAGCUUUCUCCAACCCAUCAUAUCAAUGGAUUUUUCAACAUUGUUUCACCAACAUCUAAGAAACUUGGAGAACUCCAGGUCUCACUUGCCCUGGAGCCUCUGUCAGAAACUUAUGACAGCUACAACCCUCUUCUUACCACUGACAUGACAGAAAGUGCACUUUUAUCUGAGGAGGGAUUCAGAGAAUAUACUGAACCCAGCAAUACCCAGUUUCUGGUUCCAUCAAGACCCCACAGGAUAUCUACCACCAAAAUUAAUGGAAAAGAAUUAACAGCCAAUAGUAGUAGAUCAACCACUCCAAGGGGAAAGGACCACUUGUACUUUGCAGAGAAUUCUGAUAGAACAAAGGACUCUUUUUUUGGACUACAGCACCAUCUUAAUUCAGGGCAGAGCUUAGAGUCUAUGUCUCUGAAAGGCAAAGCCCCACAGAAACAGAUGUCUCUUCUCAACAGUUCUGAAUUGCAGCCUCAAAUUAGGACAGUUGCCAAGAGUCACAGUGACUCGUGCAUUCUUUCUUCAAAUAAUCCCCCUACCAAAGACCUUCUUUCGGCUCUGUUGGAACAAGGAAAUAAACUACGUAAUGCCAUGGUGGUUUCUGCAAUGAAAUCAAGCCCAGAUACCAGCAUGUUGUUGGACGAAGUUCAUCCUCCUGUGAAGGAAGAUUUUCUUAAAGCAUCAACACACCUCUCAGAAAGUAUUUUCCCACACCUUAGAAUCAAAGCCUUAUCUAAGAAUCAAUUUAAAGACCACAAUGAAGAUCACCUCCUCCCUCUAACUGAGAACAAAUUUUGGAAACAUGACACAAAAGCUGAUACCAGAGCCAUACAGCUACUAUUGGGCAGUGCUGAAUUUUCCCAAGGUCAGUACUGGGACGGACUAGGCUCUCCUCCAGAUUCUCCAGCUCCUGGGAGUGAUGUGUAUUGCAGCAGUGAGCCGAAUGACCCUCAGUAUGACCAGAGUCUCCUGGAGAACUUAUUUUACACAGUACCUAAAUCUGAUAGCAGCAUAAGUGAUUUCUUCAGUGAAGAUGAUGAUAUUGUCCCUUCUGAAAAAAUGAGCCAAUCGAAAGCUCUUGCCAGAUCUUCUAAGGUUCUGGAGUCAAAUGAUCACAAGAUGAAGAAGAGAGCAGCAGGCAAGAAAAAUAGAAAUUUGGUUGAACAACAAAUGAAAUCAGUAACUCCAGAAGAUGCCCAAGUGAUGACAUUAAGUGUAGACAGGCUGGCCCUUCUGGGUAGAACACACUCAGUCAGAAUCAUCAUUGAAACAAUGGAAGUUCCUCCAGAUAGUCCACAGAUGACCUCUGGCAAAAAAAGCUUUCCUGGGAGACCACCUAAGCUGACAACAAAAAAGCGCACCUUCAUUGUGGAAUAUCACUUUCCUGUGGGCUUUUCCAAAAGUGGAUUGGGAAAGACAACUUUGAUAACUGAGGUUGUUCGACUCGCCUCCAGCAAAACUGAAGAUGGAAUGGUAAAAUUCCAGCAGAGAUUUGUGUUUCCAGUACAGUUUGGUGGUCCAAUGAUAGAACAUUGGUGGAAUUCCAAUCUUAUUUUCAAAAUUUACACAAAGAAAAUACAGAAAAAGCCAGAAGUCAUUGGAUCUGCAUCAUUGCCUUUGAGAGCUGUCAUUCAGUCUGAAUUGCUUUCUUUCAGUGACCAGCUUCCAGUACAACAAGAAAAUGGUCAAGUUCCACUUGGCCCCCUCAAGGUAACUGUGGAGCUUGUUAUAGAUAAUAAGGAUUUCAAUGGUGUCGAGACUAAGUUAAAUAGUAGCACCCCACAUACCCUCCUCUCUACUCUUAUAAGCCCAGAUAAGAAACUGUCAGAACCUAGCCAUCAUGUUACCUGCACCAAAAAUUCACAGAACCUAAAUCAAGUUCAUGAAGAAACUGCAAAGGAAGAACAGAAUUUGGUGCUCUCCAACCCAAAGUCACCAAGCCCUGUUGCACCAAAUCCUUCAACCUUCAUGGCUAUGCCAGCCUCUCACAAUUUGGUAAAGCAGACAAAUGGGUCAACCAAAGAGAGUGCUUUGCUGUUGCAUGUGCUUUUGAUGGUGCCAGAUGGGAAAGAUUUCAUUACUGAAGAAUCUGAGAAACCACCACCAUGCAAUGUUUAUUUAAAUUGCAAACUCUUCAGCACAGAGGAAGUCACCAGAUCUGUCAUCGCAUGGGGCACAACACAGCCAGUCUUUAACUUUUCUCAGGUGAUUCCUGUCUCUCUGUCUCCCAAAUACUUGGAAAGGCUUAAGAACAAUGUGAUGGUAAUCGAAACUUGGAACAAGGUGCGGAGCCCAGGACAGGACAAGCUGCUCGGGCUGGUGAAACUCCCCCUCCAUCAGUUUUACAUGUCAUUCAAAGAUCCCAAGAUUUCUCGCCUGCUGCUUGAUGCUCAGUUCCCAGUUGUUGCUGUCGACAGCUACAUGCCUGUGAUUGAUGUGUUCUCAGGCCAGAAAAAUGGGAGUCUUCGAGUCUUUUUAGCUAUGGGUUCUUCAGAUCAGAUAAUGGCACUACAAAGAUUGAAGAAUGAAGAAGGAACACUUCCUCCCUUCAGCCCGAGGCCAGCCCAUUUACUGGACCAGCUAUCUAAAGCAUCCAAUGCAAUGGCAGAAAACCAAGGAAAUGGACUGAUGGAGCACCACUUUGAGCUCCACGUAGACAAGGUUAAAGGGCUGGUCCCUCUUCAGGCCACAGUCUGGGGAGAAGCAGAUUGUUAUGUUCAGUACUACUUUCCAGUUCAAGACUCACAAUCCAGUGUGUUAAAAGGACCUGAGUUCCUUGAAAAUGGAAUCACUCUGAGGCCUUUCAGAUCUGCAACCACACUCUGUGUUCCAGAUCCCAUCUUUAAUAGUCAGCACCAUCACUCUCUCCUGUUGCCAACAGAAGUUCCAGUGCAAAGGCUCCUACUCAGUGCCUUCUCUGCACAAGCACUUGUGCCCGGAGGUGGAGUCCACUUUGAAAUCUGGUGCAGAUACUAUUAUCCUAAUGUGAGAGACCAGAUGGUCGCCAAAGGAACCUUGCCAUUAUCGAGGAUCUGUGCCAUGGUAACCAUGCAGCACCGUGAGGAUGUGGGAAUGCAGACCUUUAACCUCCCUUUAACCCCCAGGCUUGAGAAUAGGAAAGAAUUGAGGAACCAGUCAUCAGGUUUACUAGAUGUGGGCCUGAGGUACAGGCGUACUCCAAGGACAGCAGAGGGAGUUCUUGCUGGCCGAGCUGUCUCUAUCUCAGUCCAGAUUAUCCGAGCCUGUGGUCUGCAAGCAGCAGCCAAGGCUUUGGCUGAGCAGGAACCCGCUCUACAGUUUAGUGCCUCAGUAGGGGUCAAUGCCUUUGUCACCGUUCAUCUCUCCUUCCUGCCCAAGGGAGAACAGCGCCAAACCCGCCCUGUGGCCUGUACCUUCUGCCCUGAGUUCUCCCAUCACACUGAGUUCUCAUGUAACUUAGUAACUCAGCACUGCAGUGGAGAGGCCUGUUUCCUGGCAGAGCUGUUGGAGUUUGCAGAGGUCACUUUUGCCAUUUAUCAUGAAGAUACCAAGUCAGUCAGUGAUAUAACCAGUAUCCAGUCAUUAAAAAAGUAUCUGCUUGGAGUAGUAAAGGUUCCAACAAAAGAAUUGCUAAUCAAGAGGUCUGGGAUCACAGGAUGGUAUCCUAUUGUUUCACCAGAAGAUGGGGCCAUGCCUCAUGGCUUGGAGCUCAUGCAGAAGAUUGUGGGUGGUCUGGAGCUUUCGGUUUCCUUCACCCAUCCAGGAGACAGAGAACGGGUGUUGGAAGCUGCUGAACUAUUGGGCUGGAGCUUUGAGAAUAACCUGAAGGAUCUUGUCAAGAUGGAUGAGGAGGAGCCAGCCACUAUCACCAUCUCCACACCAAGGCUCUGGCUGCCCAUCCAUUGCGUGCUGCUUGCUGGCCAGAAGCACAUUCAUAAGAGCACAUAUUGCUACCUCCGCUACAAGCUGUAUGAUCAUGAAUGCUUUUGGACUCCUCUCAAGAAACCUAAGGAAUCUACAAACCAAAAGCAGGUCAUAGUUACUUUUAAGGCAUCCAAAAAAGCAGAAAUCUUUAGGGGCCCGUCACUGCUUUGGUACUUCAGGGAGGAGAGAUUAGAGAUCCAAGUGUGGCGGGCUUAUGGCAAUGAAAAUGUGGAGAGGCCCCACAAUACGGACAGCUGGAUUGGCUCAGCCUAUGUGGACCUGUCCAGACUUGGGGAGAGGACAGCAAGGACACUGACUAUCAGUGGUGUGUAUCCUCUCUUUGGACGAAAUGCUUCCAAUCUCUCAGGAGCUGCCUUGCGAGUUCAUGUGGUUCUUUCCUCUCUCUCCCCACACCCUGGGCCCACUCAUGAGCUGGACUCCAUGGACUGCAGCAGCCACAGUGAGUCUGAGCAACUCCCCAGAAGGAAGGAUGAGAUCCAACUCUCGGUACCACCUGACCACCAGAAGCCUCCCACCUGCACCCAGGUUCCCUGCGACAUCACCACAGCUGAAGUCUGCCCAGCCCAGGAGGGUCCUGCUGACUUGCACGUAACUUUUGCAGUCAGCAUCCUGGUGGAAAGAGCAAUGCACUUAAGCUUGAAAGGGACCCCCUUGACAGAGCGGAAGGUAUCAAUACCCAGUUGUUGUGUGUCCUUUGCAACAGCUGAUGAGCCAUCUCCUGUCUACACCCCAGUGGUUAAAAACACAGAUUCCCCCAUCUGGAAUUUUCAACAGCAAUCAAGACUAUCAAAAGAGCUUCUUUUGGACCCACAACAAACUCUGGUCUUCAAAGUUUGGCAUAAAGGAGACGAGGAAAGGGUGAUUGGCUUUGCCUCGGUGGACCUCUCCCCGCUUCUCUCUGGCUUCCAGUUUGUCUGUGGCUGGUACAACAUCACAGACUUCAGUGGAGAGUGCCAGGGGCAGGUAAAAGUCGCUGUCUCCCCUAUGGAGAGUUUGAUGCACUUCAAAGAAGAAAGGCAAGCAAGACGUGGGGUGGAGACCCCAGGAUCACUGAUCCCAAUAUACCGUCCCUUUUCCUUCCCUGUCUCUGAUGUGUAUGCUGCAUUCCCCAGCUGCAUUGCUAGACAGACUCCAGAACAACUUGUUCACACCUCUCCAAAAGAGCUUGGUUUCUCCUCCCCUGGGAGAAGUGGUGCUGCAAGAAGCCAGGCAUCACGGCAUGAAGAGCAUGUGCAGAACAUCCGCCGAUUUCAUGAAUCCCUGCAGCAGGGAGAGGCAGUCUCGCCAAGUGAUGACAAACUGACCACACCUCCCUGGUCUUCCCAUACUUCCAUUCUGACUUCUCUGAGGAGGAAUCUGAGUGAGCUAGAUCAGAUUCAGAGGUACUUCAGCCAGAAGCUCACCAAGCCUUUACUUCCCCUCAGUCCCCAGACUCAGACGAUCUUGCAGUGCCAACAGAGCCAUGGGGACUCUUGUGGGCCAGAAGCCAGCAGACUAGAUCCUGAGAGCCAGUGCAUCCUGGAGAAAUCCAAUAACCUGGUGUUGCAAGUCAGCUCCUUAAUCACGGAUCUGCAGACCAUCACCAGGAAUUCUCAAGCAUCUUUGAGUUCUCGCCAAGCCAGGAGUAGAAGCAGAGAAGUUACCACUCUCCCAGAUCCUCAGAACACAGGAGCCAUGCAAGAACAAAGCACAAUUCCUGACCUGCCCGUGUCAAGAGCUCCAGAUGAGGGUGCAGACUCCCCUCCUCCCCGUACUCCAGAAGAGCCUUCGAGUGGAGGAGUAAUGCUCCAUGAGUCCCUUGGACACACAAUACCCAUUACAAGGAUGCAGAGCAAUGAAGACACUGAGGCAGGCCCAGCCUACAGUGAUGAAGACUAUGAAGAAGACAUCAUUGAGCCCAGGACACUCAAUGAGAUCACCACCAUAACAGACAAAACUAGCCCUUGGUCCAGUUUUGUGUCAGACUCAAGUGAGAUCAUUAGCCUUCAUCCUGAUGAGGUGCAGAGGGUAGGUCCCUCUUGUCCUUCUCCUGAGCCCUGCCUUAGAGAGGAGCUCAGGGUCAGAAGUAGCUUUCUGUCCAGUCCAGAAAGAGCUGUCAACUCCCACCUGCCUAGGCAGGGUUCUGCUAGCCAAAGUCUUGUUCCUUGUGAGGGUAAGAGCCCUAAGAUCUGGGGUGGAGAGCCUGCCUCAACAGACCCUCAACUCAUCCCAGGUGUGACACUCUCAAGAGCCCCAAAGAACACCACUUGCUCACCAAGGGCAGAUCAGGACCAGGAGCCCAAGCCACAGGUCCAGGCUGAGGAUGAAGCUGCCUCCAGUGAGCUAAGUGACUCUGCUAAUAGCUUGGAGAAAUUCCCUCUACACGUAGCCUCCCAGAACAAAAGGGAAAAUCAUAAGGGGCUACCCAUCAACUGCCCUGACAUCAGGCAGAAGCAGGCGACAUCUGAAUCAGAGGUUUCCACAAAGCAGAAUCUCCUUCUGUAUCCUUUGACGGUUUCCCACAAGUAGCCCAAUGUAGGCAUUUUGGAUGCUGGUGCUUAGGCCAGCCUAGUGGGAAUGAGCAGUGGCUACCACCUUCAUGGGAUUCACUGAGGGGCAUGGGAAGAUCCUUCAAAAGACUCACCUGCACUGACAAGGUGCUCCAAUUCUCCCAUUAACACCAGCCCUCUGAAGCACAGUGUUUUUAACUGGGUUUAGGUGUUGGGAGCACAUUCAUUAGCCUGUCCUGGUAUAUUGGGUAUUUUACAGCUGACCCUAGGAAGGAGACCUUUAAUCUCAGUUGAAAUAGAAGUGGAGGGUGCAGAUGGGAAAGAAGAGUACUAACACUGAGCAUUUACUUUGUGCCAGGCACUAGACAUACAUUUUUUACUCAGUCAUCUCAAGUCUUUAAGCAUCAGCUGACUAUCCAGCAGAGUCCCCAGAAGCCAGAGCAGCAACAGCAUCGGCCCUGCCUCACCAGGGCCUCUGAAGAAGAGUCAGGGACUUGAACCAAAGCAGGAAAUGCUGCAUUUCAUUCAUUUGGUGGAUAUUUAUUGAACACGAACUGUGUCCCAGGUGCUAUGUCAGGUGACCAGAAUGUGGCUGUGAAAGAGAUCAUCUAUGCCCUCUUGGAGUUCAAAGUCUUGCAUGGGAGAACGAUGAUAAGCCAAUUUGAAUCAGAACCAUACUUAGCUUAUUGAGCAGAAACAAAAAAUUAAACAUCAGAAUGGCCCCAUCCCUCCUCCCAAACUGAAAAAGUGCCUUGAACAAAUGUUCUCAUCACAGUGCUGGAUAUCUGCAGGGUGUACAAAGGAGAAGCACAAGAUCCAGUGUCUGCCCCCAAGGGCUUACAUCCAGACUGCGCGGACCAGCUGUGCCCACUUAGGCAGAACCCUCAUUUCUGGGUAUAAGCAGAAAAGAACCAGGGGGACCCUCCUUUUUUACUAGGCAUCUCCCUCCGAUCUAAGACACUGCCCCUUGGAGCCACCUUGUCUGAAGGCCUCAUGUAGUGCUCUAGGGAAGUAGUGAGGUCACUGAUGGAAACUAUGCCAUCUUUGCCUUUGAGAAGUUUGGGGGGAUUUUGAGAAAAACACAUUGAGAUUCAUAUCGCACUAAAGCAUCAAGCAUUAUCCUGUGUUGCAAACUCUGCUGUAGAAGGAGUGAUCACUGUGGGCUAAGAUCAGGAGAAAGCUUCCCAGAGGAGGUGGGAUUUAAACUG